This is an RNA transcript of Paramisgurnus dabryanus, 6229 nucleotides long. It is a transcript of the gene named formin 1, with no coding region annotated. Lineage: Eukaryota; Metazoa; Chordata; Actinopteri; Cypriniformes; Cobitidae. The record is from RefSeq and is a predicted model, not a curated record.
UUGGUGUGGUCGUACUCUUGUUAAGAACUGUGGACAUUUCGAGUGGACUGAAUAAAGGAGAUACAAAGCAGGGACAAAACUUGGUUCUUUGAUAAAUCGCCGAUUUCCAUUUUUUCAGCUCUUCUGUUAUGACGGCCUGAAAACAACAUCUCUGGAAUUUUUACAUGCAGAUUUUCCUGGCAUUCUUUUUCUGGAAACUUCAUUACAGGGCACAUAAGAAAAAAAUACAUGACAGACCUAAAUCUGGAGCUUUCUUGGUUAAGCAGAAUGUUAUUUAAAUGAAUCAUGAAUGACAGAUAUCCAGUAGUUCAUGAUUAUAACGCAAAGACUUGAAAUUCAGGGAAGGACAGUUUGAACAGAUUUGGAAAGAUAUGUGGAAAUAACCUGGACGUUUUAAAAAAGCAAACACUGUCAUCCCAGUUGUACCGCUAGGGAUUCUUUUGCUUGUGGUUUCUGUGGAAUAUACCAGUGAACAGAAUACAUUUGUCUGUACGACUUACUGAAUGAAAAUGGACAGUGAUGCCCUUAAUUCAUUUUUUGGCAAAAUUGCAGAUCUUUUUCCUAACAACAUAAAACAGGAACUGCAAACAUAUAGUCCACCUAUAACCUCUUUUCACUCUUUGACUGAGAAAGGUUCUUCUUCAGGAGAUAACGGUCAAUAUUUGGACAGUUUUACGUCAUUUGUUCAGACUCCGCAUUCAAAUGCUGAGGAAAACAGGACUGAGGACAAUGUAAACAAAUCAAAGAUUCAGAUUCAUGCGAUGGAUUCUGCUCCAGAAAAAGAGAAGCUGGAGUUGGACCUAAAUGUUUCGCACCAGAGAGAUCAUUACAGUAAACCGUCAGGAACAAGCCGCUCCGACCAGGGCUUAACAGAUGGUCUAGCUGACACCCUGUCUAAAUCACUUAGCGAUAUCUCAGCCUGUGACUGCGUUCUGAACAAACAACUUGAGGAUUCAGCAAGUACAAUAGAUACUGAAAAAGUAGUUUUUAGUGAGUGCAUAGAAGGAUCUGUCAACAUGAGAGAUCAAGCAAGCAAUGGUAAGAGUAUUUGCGCAUUCAGUCAAGACGUAUCUGAAGAUAAUGGACAUGGGUCGGAUAGCAUCAGCAGUGAGUGUGGUACUGUUCAAAAUGACAAUCAAGAUCACCACAUACCCAAAAGCAACCACACAGAAGAAUUGGUCAUUUUAUGUAAAGAAAGAAAUGUUUUGAAAGAGAGCUGCGAUGAAGAAACGGUAAUGGGCAGAUCUUCUCAAGAUGAUCUCACAGAGACUCAAAAUAUGAAAAACUGCAUUUCAAUGCAAAGUGAGCAGGAAGCAUCUGAACUUAUGAACCAGAUGAAUGGAGAUGCUACUUCUGAUAUUAACCAACACACAACUCUAGAUUCACUUAAUACAAAUUCAGAUGUUCAGAGCAAAUCAAUAAAUUGUAAUGAUUAUAAUCUCACAGAUCAAACGGAUCUUUCUUCAAAAUCGCCUGUACCCAGGACCCAUCAAUGUGUUAAACCUUUUUGUGAAGAAUCGUGUAUUGGUACUGAACAGAUUCAACAGAGGGACGAUACUGCCGAAGGCCCCUUUUCUCAAGCUUCAUGCAUUGAAAGCAAUGCUGAAUUAGACAGCAACUUUGUCCAUUCUCCUACUGCAAGCAAUAAGAUCCAGACUGGACACCCUGAGGUCAGUGUUGGCCUCUGUAAUACUAAAGAACAAACUACCGAUUUAUCCAAGUUAGGUAAUUCUAUCACAGCCUCACUGGAACCAGAACCAGGACUUGUCCAGAUAGAGGAACAGGAGAAAACAGAAAUUAAGGAUGAUUCCCAAGGCAAGCAACAGAAAGAAAAUUACUUAGAUGGUCCACAGGAGGAUAUGACAAUAAAGAUAAAGACCCUGGAUGGAACAGAUACAGCUGUGCAGGGAGAAGAAGAAACGAUUGAGAAAAUAAAAGAAAGAGAAAUGAUUCAAGAAGACACAAUGUUAGAACCUGUAGAUGCAUCCCCUGUGUUGGAUUCAUCUCCUCAUGAGAAGACCACAGACCUUUCACUGCGAUUUGGGUCCGACCAUACUGUCAUGUCCCCCACCACAGUAAAAGAUUUACAAAUCCAUUUGUCCUUCCUUUUCACUGGGAGGCUUGGCACCAAGAAAGAAGCACAAGAAGAACAAGAAACUCCAGACCAACCCCAAAGCCCCAAUCAGUCUAUCAAAAAAAAAGAUUCAAAGGGGGACUUUCUCGAGCAGAUUACCCAAUUCUUUAACAGCAGCAAAGGAGAUGGAAAGAAAAAGAAGGAUAGUCUGUGCAGUCCUCCACUGUCUCCAAUCACCCAGGAGCCUGUAGAAGAAACGGUCAUUUCCCAAUCUGAGGAAACUAUCAAAUCUCCAAAUACAGAGACGCCAUUAGAUGCCUUCAAAGCAUUCUUUACAGUUAAAAAAGAGAACUCAUCACAAAUGGAUGGGGAUGCUGGAAAAAAGAAGAUCAAUAGGGAUAAAGAGGCUCUUAAAGCUUUCUUUGACAGGAACACGAUUAAGUCACCAGGCACCAAACGAUCUUCUGAGUCCAAUUCUGAGGUGAGUGGGGAACGCACGCCAAGGCGACUUCAGACUAUCUGGCCUCCACCCAAACCCAAAGACAAGGAGGAAAAGAUUGGCCUGAAAUACACAGAAGCUGAGCAUCAGGCAGCGCUUCUGCAACAGAAAAGAGAAUUUGAUGAGGAGAAAGAGAAGAUAGAGGAUGAUCACAAACAUUUGCUCUUCCGGACUCAUGAGGAACAUGAAGCGGCUCUGUCCAAACUAAGAGCAACCAUUGCCAACUUACAAAGAGAGAGCAUCAAAAAUCAUCACAGGGAUCUCAGAGAUGUUGCCGUGUCCACUGAAGACCACAUCAGACCGCGAGUCUUUCACUCUGUAUGCGUUCAGACAGACAGAGAGACGUUUAUCAAGUCUGUUGAGGUCAAAGGAGCCCAGAGUCAUAGCCUUGAUCUCCAGAAGAAUGUGUCCAAAAAUGCAGACCUUAAUUCAACAAAAAACUUUAACUUCACUGACAAACAGAAGACGGUUUCUCCUCAACCUCCCCUUCCUGCCUUGCCUAAGGUACAAUUAAGUGGGAACACGAUUCCUCCUUUACCUCCUCCACCUACUCCACCUGGCCCCUCUGCUCCCAAUUCAUCUUCACUUCUCGCUAAACCAUCGCAUGUUCCAGGAAGUGAACCUCCACCUCCUCCACCUCCUCUUUCUGCCUUGCCUCAGGCACAACUAAGUGGUAACACGAUUCCACCUCCUCCACCUCCUCCACCUCCUCCACCUGGCCCCUCUGCUCCCAAUUCAUCUUCACUUCCUGCUAAACCAUCACAUGUUCCAGGAAGUGUACCUCCACCUCCUCUUUCUGCCUUGCCUCAGGCACAACUAAGUGGUAACACGAUUCCACCUUCACCUCCUACACCUCCUCCACCUGGCCCCUCUGCUCCCAAUUCAUCUUCACUUCUUGCUAAAGCAUCAGAUGUUCCAGGAAGUGUACCUCCACCUCCUCCACCACCUCCACCCAUGACAGGAUGUGGUCCCCCACCACCACCACCACCUCCAGUUUUCCAUUCAAUCCCCCCACCUCCUUCAGGCUCUGGUGUGUUCCUUGAUGAAGUGUCAGACAAUUCUCUUCGCAAACAGUCAGUGGAUCCGGUCUGCCCUAUGAAACCGCUCUACUGGACACGAAUACAAGUUGAAGAUAGCAGAAAUGAUAUGCUGUGGAGCGCACUUGUGGAGCCAGAGAUAAUAAACACUAAUGAGUUUGCGGAGCUGUUUGCUAAAGCCACGUCGCCCACCAAAAGAAAACCUCUCUUAGAAGCCUACGAGAGGAAAAACAAAGCUAGGAAGGUUAUUAAGUUACUGGAUGGUAAGCGCUCUCAAGCAGUGGGCAUCUUAAUCUCAAGUCUUCACCUAGAGAUGAAGGACAUUCAGCAAGCUGUAUUAACUCUGGACAAUGCAGUGGUUGACCUGGAUGCCAUUGAAGCCAUGUAUGAAAACAGAGCUCAGCCUGAAGAGUUGGAGAAGAUUAAGAAACACUACGAAACCUCGGAUGAGGAGCAAGUCAAACUACUGGACAAACCUGAACAGUUCCUGUAUGAACUUUCCCAAAUUCCUGAAUUCUCCGGUCGUGUUCACUGUUUCAUUUUCCAGUCGAAGUUUACAGACGCCGUUGCCUCCAUACAGCGCAAGGCUGAGAUUAUUCUGCGCGUCUCCAAGCAUCUGUUGGAGGAGGACGGUGUGAGGGAGAUUAUGGGGCUGAUUCUUGCUCUUGGAAACUACAUGAACGGAGGUAGCAGAGUUCGAGGUCAGGCGGACGGCUUUGGGCUUGAGAUUCUUCCCAAGCUUAAAGAUGUCAAGAGCAGGGAUAAUCAGAUUAGUCUGUUGGACUACAUUGUUUCCUACUAUCUGCGCAACUUUGAUGAGAACGCUGGGACAGAAAACAUCAUCUUUCCUUUGCCUGAACCUCAAGAUGUGUUUCUGGCCUCCCAAGUGAAGUUUGAAGACCUCUCCAAGGAUUUAAGAAAGUUAAGCAGGGACUUGGCAGUUUGUGAGAAAGAAUUCCUAUCUGUGUGUACCAACUCAUCCCAAGAGCACAUGCAUCCCUUCAAGGAGAAAAUGGAUGGUUUUAUUGCUAAUGCAAAAAAUGAAGUAAUUGCAAUAGAAAACCAAGUGACAUCAGCACGUAAAAGCUUCUGUUACCUGGCUGAGUACUUUGGUCUAAAGCCACGUUCUGGUGAGAAAGAGGUUGUGCCUGGCAGUAUUUUUACACUUUGGUUUGAAUUCUGUAAUGAUUUCAAGAUCAGAUGGGACAGAGAGAACAAGACAAUAUCAAAACAGAGACUCAAAGAGGCCCAACAGUCUGUGCGCAACAUCACAGCAGAGAAGAAGAUUGAGACCAGAAGCGCCCAUGAAAACGGACUGAAAAAGAAACUGCUUCUGAAAGAAGCGAGUCUGUCCAGGAGCUAACACUCAAAAGGGUUUCCAAAAAGGGCCAGAUACAUUUAUAUCUGAAACCUCCAGCCUGCUCUGUCGCAUCAUUUGGGUCAUGGUGAGUGACAGGUGCUCCGGCUUGCACAUCAGUGCUGACUGCUUGGCUCCAAUUCCUUAUUUGUCACCUUCUCCCCCUUUAUCGCUCUGACUGGACACUGUGAGGAAACUGAGCAAUUUUACUCGAAAUAGCCUUGGGUGUUGUGAUGUGUAUGGUUUGGAGUGUAAUACAAUUGAUUGGUUUACAUUUACAAUGAUGCGUUUCGGAGAUGCUUUAAUUUCAAAGAGACAACGUAGACAUUUUUAUGAGUAUGUGUGUGUUCCCUGGGAUGGAACCCACAACCUUUGCGCUGCUUAUGCAAUGCUCUACCAAAUGAGCUAUAGUACAAAACAUUUAGUCUUUUAUGUUAAUGAUUUGGUUUUUUUCAACAUCUUAUUAAAAUGAAGUUGACCAUUUGAUAUUAGAAAUGAAAAUGCCUACUGUCUCGCCGUGUUAUCUAACGUUUUAUCGGCUUGGAGAAGAACAGAUACUGUUCUAUUUGUGAUCGUCAAAGCUAAUGGAUGACUGGAAAAGAUUGUGAUAUCAGUGUGAUAAUAUUUAGUUAUCUUCUUAAAGGGAUAGUUCACCAAAAAAAAAUGUCAUUAUUUACUCACCCUCGUGUUGUUCUGAACCUGUAUAAAUUACUUUGUUUUGCUGAAAAACAACAAAAAUAUUUGUAAUCAACCAGGAAACAGGAGCAUCAUCGAAAAACUAUAAUACAAAAUAUUAUGGAAGUCAGUGGUUCUGGAAAACAACAACAAAUUUAGAGUAAUUAAAUAAUUAAAUACAUCUUUUUUAUUUUUUGGGUGAACUAUCCCUUUAACGUUCAGAUUCCUGGGGUUUCCUUAAAAACCCUUCGGUUGGCAGUGCCAAAGCUGGAUUAUGUGUUAGCAUUUUUCAUCACCGUAAUGUUCAAGCGGGACUAUCGGAUGUGCUAUUAUUAGGUAUUUUUUCACACUAGGCUCAAAGACAUCUACAGAACACAAUCCGUUAGGAUUCCCGUGUACUGUGGCAUCUUAUUAUAGCUAUGAUGAUGCUGUCUAGAAACCUGUUAUUGACGUGAGGUCAUUGCUAAUUCUUUGGAUUGCAAUUUAGUUACUUUUAUGUACUAUGUGUCUAAUUCUGUGACAAAUGUGUAGUCAUUAAACUAAUAAUGUUACUGGAUAUGUCAUCUUUUCAGAUCUGGGUGUUCCCA